UUUUGAAUGAAAAACAGAUUUUAGAUGUGCAAAGCUGGUACACGUAUCCCAUGGGGCAAACAGUCCACACACAAAAAAUAAUGUAAUGAAAUGCAGUGAGUGGUGGUGAGGAAGAUGCUGAGCACCCAGGUUGGAAUGAAGGAGUGAUGAUUUAAUAAUGAAAAUACAAAUACAAAAAAUCCAGGCAGCACAGAUUGAGCAGGAGACUUAAAGCUCAAAUACUGGUAGCAACUGGUUACAAAAUAACUGACAGCAGACAAGCCGUCAGACUAGACAGCCAGACAGAUAAGACAAGGACCCGACUAGGAACAAUGAAUACAGGUGGGAUUAAAUACGCAGGGAGACAAUCAGGAGAAACAAGGGACAGCUGGAGACAAUCAAGGGGUGGACAGGACAACACGGAGACCUAAUUAACUGAAAACAACACAAAAACCUAAAUUAACACAGAGAAAAAAACCAAAACCUUACAAAAAAAAUAGCAAUUUCAGAUUUUUAUUGUAAAUUGUAUUCAAAAUUGUGUUGGUCUGCCACGUAAAAGCCCUAUAAAAUGUAUACAAGCAGGGGACUAAUGUGAGAAAAGACAAAGGGGUACAAACGCUUCUGCAAGGCGCUUUAUUGUUCAAUUUGAAAGCAAAUUAACAAACUUUAGUGAGAGCAGAAAACCUUCUUUUGUAAUGUGUAACUAAGUCUUGUUGCAUCCCGUUGCCAUUUAACAGUCAUCUAUUCUUCACUCGAAAGCUGAAAGACAAACUCUGCAACUUCCUUUGGAUAGUCUUGCAUUGUUAAGGGUCCUUUUUUCCAUUUGCUGCUCAUAAGGCAGCUGUCUAACUUAGUUAAGGACACACCCUGCACAUCCACAUAAGGAAUUUAUUUAUAGGGAAAGCAUGUUUACGAUGCACCAUGUGUCAGAAAGCAGUUUUACAAACCCUGCAUCCCCCCUCAGUUUUCUCCUCUCCUUGCUGAAAGAGUAAUUGUACCUGGGAAUGCCGACACAUAAGUGAUGUAUUUAACCAUACGUUUCAUUGAGUUAGUAAUUAAUCUGCAGAUUGUGUCAGCACUGGAACGUUCAUAUUCUGUUAUUGCUCCUUUUUUGUCUUUCAGUCGACUCGCUCUCACGUUAACAGAGAGCAGCGAAGGAGCUCAGCAAAUGGAAAUCAUUUCUCCUCCUCCGCCUCUCCGGAGGGGCUUUCGUAACAAGAUCCCCCCUGCAUGCUGUCGCUGCAGUGGGCAGAGAGUCGGUUACCUGCUAGAGGUCAAAGCUGAAAACACAUUCACAGAAGCGCCGAGACCUUCGCCCUGCUGCAUUGUGGAACAGAAACGGUCCACAAACACCACAUUGAUGACGUGCGUGUGUCGCGGCGUUGCGUGAGUUGUACAGUACGUGAAGGUUUGUGUCACUGUGUGGAUCUGAAUAAACAACCUACACGAGGCCGAGGUCAAUCAAUGCAGAGGGGAAAACAAUCUGCUGGAUGUUUUUUUUUUCUUUUCUUUUCUCUGUGCUCCAUAGAGCUCAGUUCAACUGGAAUGUGUUACAUUACUCUCAUCCUUAUUCAUAUGGUGCUAAUCACAGCAGGAUAUGAGGCAUUGUUUUCCCAAAUAAUCUUUGGAAAAACAUUUUUUUUAAUGCUUCUUAUUCACCUUUUGACACUCUUUUUGUUGAGCACUGAUGAAAGUCCUUUUGCUCUUUCACCCACUGUAUUUUUUCCUUCUUCUUCAUUUGAUUUAUAGUCAGACCCAGAAAAGCACACAAUGGGCAGAGUGUGGUUGCGUGUCUUGCACCACUACAUCAUCUCUAGCAGGACUUUACAUGUGCAGCUGAUUAUAGUGCCCCAUGGUGGCCUUGCGGAUCCAGAGAGAAUUUCCAUAAAGAAUAAUUGAUAAGAUUUGGUAGUCGAAUAGAUGGUGGGGGAGACCAUCGUAGCUUGAACCUUAAAAUAUUCAACAUUUUAAGCUAAUUUAAUAGUAUGAGCAGCCUGUACUUUAUCUGGGGAAACAUGUUACACGCCCUGUAGCUGGUUGUGAAUGACUCGGCUGGUAAUAGUCAGUUUCACUCAUGUUCCCUCGUGGCUAGCCUCUCAAGCAAACAUGAUUUUUGCGUUUUAGCUUUAAAUUUUAAAAGGAAAAUGAUCUUUUCAAAGAUAAUGUCAAUGCAUAUUUCCACAAGGUUCAAAAUGUGUUUCCAGAAAGAUUUCAGAAUCUGAAACGAGUUUAAGCCUCUAAACGUUAUCACAUUUUCUCUUUGCACACUGUUCUUCUCAACUGAGAUAAAGUUAAGCUUUGAAUGCUUAACUUAGUCUGUCAUGACUAAUUAAUUGUUUUAGGACUAUGCAGCCUGAAUUAGUGUAAAAUAUAUAUAUAUAUUCUAAAAAUAUUUAGUAUCUUAACUUUAUUCAAAAUGCAAUUUCUUCAUAAGUAGUGUGAAUGCAAUUAUCAAGCAAAUCCUAAUAUGUCUUCUAGUCAUUCUAAUUGUGCUAAUGAAUGAUGCAAAAAUAGUAGAGUGGGAUAAGUAAGCAGGAGGUAACGCAGUUGGCUAGUGGGCUUUAUUUUAGCUGAGCAGUCAAAUAAAAAUGUACCUGCCACCAAACAUCUACAGUAUUUGACCAGUGCGUGGACUUUAGCCUUCAAGGUCUCAAAGGUCUAACAUUGUGCAACAUUCAUUAGCUUCGUGCUUGCUUCAGGCUCCAGGAUGAAAAUGUGCUUCAGCUGUGUCGUCAUUUAAUACAUGUGUUUAUCCUCAGUAAAUGAGCCAGAUCUCCCAGCACAUUUAUCCAGUCCAGUCAGGCCGCUUUGUUGCAGUGGUCCUGCCACACCUCAGAGCAUGAAUGGUUAUGCAAAGUCAUCGGGCAGUCAUAUUAGAUUGGUACAGCAAGUCACCUCAAGCGCCCAGAUUCAUGUCUGAGCUGCAUGUCUUUGUCUUUUAUUUCUCGCUCGUGUUUCAAGGGAAAGCUCUUCUAGCUAGAUAGACCUUUGACCUGGCCUGUUGAAUUUGAGAUACGUGAUCUUGUACCAAAAGGUUCACUAGCAGCUGAGGUAAAAGUAGCCAAGUAAGCGUCUGGGAGAGCAGGCAGCAUGUAGACUAAAAAUGCAAGCCAGAACACAAUCUCCCCACAGGACAUUUGCAGGGAACAUUCGAGGCAGAGGCAGUAUAAACCAGCCUGAACAAGUAAGGACUCUGGUUUGCUGAGAUCAACACACCCUUCUUGCUAGGCUCCCAGCCCACUCUCUUCCCCUGCUCCUUUGCCCGCGCUCCUGUUUUGGCAGUCAUGCGAUACCGUACUGCAUGAAGGCGAUCAGAAUCUCCUCUUUUCAGUGGUCCGCCCUCGCCCUGUCUUGAUUUCGACAUCCCGCUCUACUCUCGUACAGUAGAUGUCUUAGUUUGAGGCUCGGUCAGUUGAACAAAGGACUAAAAGUGAAAAGUUAUGACCAUAAAGCUCCUUUUACUGUGUUUUUUGAAAAAGUGAAAAGAGAAAGGCAUAGAACCACCAUUUGGUAUUAUGCCAAUGAGUCGAUCUGAAGGGAUUAAGCUUUUCAUUUAUUAACACUGACCACCUAUUUUGCUGAGUCAUCAUAACUUGAAUAUUUGCUCUUCGAACUUGCCUUGCUCAGUUUGCACAGCCAAACAUCUGCGUGUCAGGGAGUGGCAUUUACAUUUAAUGACCGUAGAACCACGUGGAUCUACAUUUUCUGCUUCUUUUUCUUGUUCGCAAAGGGAAUCGUGUCAUAAGCUUUUGACAUUUUGUUGCAUUGCGACCAAAAGCCUCAGUGUGGCAUACCAACACAAUGUUGUGCAUCCAAUGGAAGGAAAGGAAUACAUUGUUUUUACCAUUUUAAGAAAUAAACAUCUAAAAAUGAGGCGUACAUUUGAAUUGAGCUACUGUAACUUGCUGAACAAACCUUUUCAGUGAUUACAUCUGCAACUCUUUUUGGGAUAUGUCGCAACAAGCUUUGCACACUUGGAGGUUGGGAUUGUUUUUUCUAUCAUAUUCUUCUCGUCAGGACUUUUGCUGCCUCUGACAAGGUUUUGUCCGUUUGCUGUUCUUCUGCGAUGCCAUGCUGCGUCUGCGUUUGGACACUGUAAUGAAGGUCUUCAUUACUUAGCUGGAAACACUUAAAACGUGGGUUGAAUGAUAAAAGAAACAGGGUGUUCAGGCUAAAAGAGUCCCCAGGGGCCCGAGCACCUUUUAAAGGUUCCGGAAGAGACCAAUGCAGAUGGAAGAGGGGGAGCAAUAGAACGAUGCAUUUUAGAAGUUUAAUGUUGGAUUUUUAUUUAUAGAAAUGUCUUUUUAGAAAUUUAAUGUCUGUUUAAAAAUGAAUAGUAUUUGCUAAUAUUAUUCUGAAGAUUUGGUUGUUUUUGUCAAGUUUGUUUGUGUGUAUGUAUUUUGUCCUACCCUGUUUCUUGGUGGGUUUGUUAAUUGGAGCAGCCAUUGACUAUAAAAGGCUGCAUGUUGGCCACGUUGCAGGGUGGUUGCUGCUGAGACCCUUAGGCCAUUGUAAGCAGGGUUGUCUGUGUGAACCUGUUAAAUGUUGGUGAAUAAACACCCAGUGGGUCUGCACCGUU
Molecule: long non-coding RNA, 4558 nt
Organism: Xiphophorus hellerii (green swordtail)
Lineage: Eukaryota; Metazoa; Chordata; Actinopteri; Cyprinodontiformes; Poeciliidae
Exons: 2
Source: RefSeq, a predicted model, not a curated record